Cucurbita moschata (crookneck pumpkin) is the source of this 437-nucleotide long non-coding RNA. RefSeq lists it as uncharacterized. The transcript has 2 exons. NCBI's taxonomy places the organism in Eukaryota, Viridiplantae, Streptophyta, Magnoliopsida, Cucurbitales, Cucurbitaceae. The record is from RefSeq and is a predicted model, not a curated record.
AUAUGUAACGAGCUAAAACGGACAAUAUCUGCUAGAGCUCUCUUCGCCACCUAGCUAGGGUUUAAUUUUACAGCUUCUUCUCAAUCCCUCUUGUUUGGCCACCAAGAAACCUCGAGGAAAUCUAUGAGACACGACACAAAUAAAACAUGGCCCUCCCAAGAUCUGUCUAGAGAACGUGGCAUGAACAUGUUCUCAAAGUACGAAUAAGUUGCAUCAUGGUCUACCAUGGGAUUAUCUUUGUUAGAUUCAUUGAAAAGUUAUGAAUAAAAAGCGUAAUUGAGUAUAAUUCAGUCGUAAUUGACAUGUACUUCUUAUAUUUUAAAAGAUAUCGUGAAACAAUCAAAUAUAUGGAGUCAUCCGUGAUCGAAAUUUUUAGAUUUAAUGAUGAAUUAAUACGGUAUCGAGUCUUGGAGAGAAAUCAUAUGAAUUGUGAAGGG